Molecule: unclassified non-coding RNA, 200 nt
Filed under: uncultured Ascomycota
Lineage: Eukaryota; Fungi; Ascomycota
Description: sequence contains ITS1
Source: RNAcentral
AAGAGAUAGGACGCAAGUCCAACCUCCAACCCUUUGUCGUAAACCACUAGUUGCCUUGCCUUAUGUCAGCUGACUGAGGCGUGGGGAAACCCGCGCUCCAUGUCUGGCCUCUAGGGCCAAAGAUUUAUUAAACUUCAAUAUUUUUAUUGAAUUGUUAUUUUAACCAUAGUCAAUUUGUUGAUUAAAUUCAAAAAUCUUCA